Molecule: ribosomal RNA, 253 nt
Filed under: uncultured bacterium
Lineage: Bacteria
Description: partial 16S ribosomal RNA
Rfam family: Bacterial small subunit ribosomal RNA
Source: RNAcentral
UACGUAGGGUGCGAGCGUUAAUCGGAAUUACUGGGCGUAAAGCGUGCGCAGGCGGCUUGCCAAGUCAGAUGUGAAAGCCCCGGGCUCAACCCGGGAACUGCGUUUGAAACUGGCAGGCUAGAGUUUGGCAGAGGGGGGUGGAAUUCCACGUGUAGCAGUGAAAUGCGUAGAUAUGUGGAAGAACACCAGUGGCGAAAGCGGUUUUCUAGCUAUUACCUGACGCUGAGGCGCGAGAGCGUGGGGAGCGAACCGG